Cydia splendana is the source of this 434-nucleotide long non-coding RNA. RefSeq lists it as uncharacterized. The transcript has 3 exons. The record is from RefSeq and is a predicted model, not a curated record. Lineage: Eukaryota; Metazoa; Arthropoda; Insecta; Lepidoptera; Tortricidae.
UUUUAUUUCAGCUCACAAUGCGAUCACAUCUCCACCGAACGCUUUCAAAAAAAUUGCACACGUUCUGCGAUCACAGUACGCUCCACGGGGCGUAUUACCUGAAGAAAGGAAAAGGCACUGUCGUGCUGUGGGGCAUCAUCAUUGUCGCUGGCUUUGCGCUGUGGGGCGUGCUUGGACACAUGAUCUAUCAGAAGUACAGCUCCGACCCUAUCGUCACUGUGGUGGAGUCCACCUACUACGGGACUGACCAGAUUGCCUUUCCUUCAUUCAUGAUUUGCGACCCCUUGCCACUGUAUGGACCUAAAACUGGGAACGUAUCUAAGAUAUUAUACAGCCGAGGUUAUGGUGCCAGUGAGAUAAACGACUAUUUUGACAGUUUUAUUGACAUUCUUCAUGUUCCUUAUACGCCGCCAAUGCAUGUCCUGAAAAUGCAC